UACGUAGGGUGCAAGCGUUAAUCGGAAUUACUGGGCGUAAAGCGUGCGCAGGCGGUUUUGUAAGUCUGUCGUGAAAUCCCCGGGCUCAACCUGGGAAUUGCGAUGGAGACUGCAAGGCUAGAAUCUGGCAGAGGGGGGUAGAAUUCCACGUGUAGCAGUGAAAUGCGUAGAGAUGUGGAGGAACACCGAUGGCGAAGGCAGCCCCCUGGGUCAAGAUUGACGCUCAUGCACGAAAGGCGUGGGGAGCAAACGAGG
Molecule: ribosomal RNA, 255 nt
Filed under: uncultured bacterium
Lineage: Bacteria
Description: partial 16S ribosomal RNA
Rfam family: Bacterial small subunit ribosomal RNA
Source: RNAcentral